UGAGUAACGCGUAGAUAAUCUACCCUGAUGUCCGGGAUAACCGGCCGAAAGGCUGACUAAUACCGGGUAGAUGUAUAUCUGCAGGGGUAUACAGGAAAGGUGGCCUCUUCAUGAAAGCUAUCGCAUGGGGAUGAGUCUGCGUACCAUUAGCUUGUUGGUGAGGUAAAGGCUCACCAAGGCGACGAUGGUUAGCGGGUCUGAGAGGAUGAUCCGCCACACUGGCACUGGAACACGGGCCAGACUCCUACGGGAGGCAGCAGUGAGGAAUAUUGCGCAAUGGGGGCAACCCUGACGCAGCGACGCCGCGUGAGUGAGGAAGGCCUUCGGGUCGUAAAGCUCUGUCAGCAGGGAAGAAGUGCACGGUGGUGAACAGCCGCUGUGUUUGACGGUACCUGCAGAGGAAGCACCGGCUAACUCCGUGCCAGCAGCCGCGGUAAUACGGAGGGUGCGAGCGUUGUUCGGAAUCACUGGGCGUAAAGGGCGCGCAGGCGGCGUGAUAAGUCAGAUGUGAAAGUCCAGGGCUUAACCGUGGAAGUGCAUUUGAAACUGUCAUGCUUGAGUACCAGAGGGGAAGGUGGAAUUCCCGGUGUAGAGGUGAAAUUCGUAGAUAUCGGGAGGAAUACCGGUGGCGAAGGCGACUUUCUGGCUGGAUACUGACGCUGAGGCGCGAAAGCGUGGGGAGCAAACAGGAUUAGAUACCCUGGUAGUCCACGCCGUAAACGAUGUGCACUAGACGUCGGAGGUAUUGAUCCCUUCGGUGUCGGAGCCAACGCAUUAAGUGCACCGCCUGGGGAGUACG
This 799-nucleotide ribosomal RNA is filed under the name uncultured bacterium. RNAcentral describes it as "bacterial SSU rRNA". It matches the Rfam family "Bacterial small subunit ribosomal RNA", at positions 107 to 884 of the family's 1533-position model. The record is from RNAcentral.